This 253-nucleotide ribosomal RNA is filed under the name uncultured bacterium. RNAcentral's name for it is "partial 16S ribosomal RNA". It matches the Rfam family "Bacterial small subunit ribosomal RNA", at positions 524 to 776 of the family's 1533-position model. The record is from RNAcentral.
UACGUAGGGGGCAAGCGUUGUCCGGAAUCAUUGGGCGUAAAGCGCGUGUAGGCGGUUCAGUAAGUCUGCUGUGAAAGUCCAGGGCUCAACCCUGGGAUGCCGGUGGAUACUGUCGGGCUAGAGUGCGGAAGAGGCGAGUGGAAUUCCUGGUGUAGCGGUGAAAUGCGCAGAUAUCAGGAGGAACACCUAUUGCGAAGGCAGCUCGCUGGGACGUAACUGACGCUGAGACGCGAAAGCGUGGGGAGCAAACAGG